Long non-coding RNA from Numida meleagris (helmeted guineafowl), 1035 nucleotides. RefSeq lists it as uncharacterized. The record is from RefSeq and is a predicted model, not a curated record. NCBI's taxonomy places the organism in Eukaryota, Metazoa, Chordata, Aves, Galliformes, Numididae. The transcript has 3 exons.
AGCUUAGGCUUAAAAAUAAAAAAGACAUGUCUCUUCAGAGAUAGUAAAUUAUCAUGUACCUUAAUUCUGUUCUGUCACAGAUGAAUGAGGAAAAAAUUUGCAUGGAUUUUUGCACCUCUGUAUGACUGGAAAGGAAUAUCUAGGAGAUUGGUGAGAUUUUUUCAUUUUAUUUAGCUUUCUUUCACAAAUCUCCAUCAUAGCACAGUGAGCUGGAGAGGACAUGCUACUGUAGUUACAUAUUCGGAAUGUUCUAGGCCACAAAUGCUUUUGCUGCAAUAAUGGAGCUGCAGCUUGUUCUAAACACUGCUUAAUGCUGAAGGUAGAAGCCAGGACAUUCCUCUCAGAAACAUGGGGAAGGUCUUUCAAUUAGGUUCUGUGUUUCCUACAUAGUUAAUGAUGAGAAAUUGGCCCCUCAAGUGGCAACCAUUCCCCCCGAUGACUGCAAAAGCUGCAUGGGGCAAGGAGGCUGGGAAGCAGUGCAAGAAUUCCAUUGAGUGGGGGCAAGUCAAGGUGCUCAGACUGGUCAGAAGACAGACUCAAGAAAUCAGUUGAUGGACUGCCUUUAUCCAUCUGUUUUGACCAGGAAAGUUAGAGAGGCCAGGCUUCUCACGGACAAAGAACCGUCACAGAACUGACAGCAGAGAUAUACCCAAAUGCACAAGCUCAGUGAAAAUUUUUAUCCAUCUGAGCAUCAGUUCAGUUCCCGGCUUAAGGCACGAAAUGAAUCCAGGAGUCUGAGGCAGAAGCAAUGCUCUGAGUUUGAUGAGAUUGUAAAAUCUUCUGCACAUUUUUCAGGAGAAAGAACCACGCCUGCUCAAUCAUGAGACUGCUUUAUGAGAUGGGUCAAAAGAGAAGAAUAAAGUGAACUGUGCAUAAGGUCUUUGGGCACUGAAGAAGCAGAUGAGUGUCACAGAAAUAGGAAAACCAAAGAGAAAGUGAGGGAGAAACAAGCAGAGGGAACACUGCAGAGAUUUUCAACCCAUGGUCAGGAAACCCCUCGGAUUACUUUCAAAGGAUCUAUGAAGGACAAUUAAA